UGCGUAUUGCAAUGCGUUGUGUUUAACAUUCUUAGUAGUUUGAAGCUACUAAGAAUGUUAAACACAACGCAUUGCAAUACGCA
RNAcentral lists this microRNA precursor (83 nucleotides) under Stegodyphus mimosarum. Its description in RNAcentral is "microRNA mir-190". The record is from RNAcentral. Lineage: Eukaryota; Metazoa; Arthropoda; Arachnida; Araneae; Eresidae.